UCAUCCCUGCUCAAGAUGGCGGACGAGCAGCAGCAGCAGCGGGGAGAGGAGGAGGCGGAGGAGACGACGCCGGCAGCAGCAGCAGCGGCGGCGGCGGCGCGAGCAGCCGCUCAGGCCAAAGCGCGGCCCAAGAAGAUCCAGUUCGCGGACCAACUGCAGGAGGUGAGCAAGCGGCCCAUGAAGACGGGAGUGGCCGCGUACUCGCGCUCCAUCUCGCAGUCUUCGGCGGACAGCUACAGCUCCGCGUCUUUCUCGGAGAGCGAGGAUGAGGUUUCCCCGAGGGAGAAGCGACAGUCGAACUCCAAGAGCAGCUCAGACUUCUGUGUGAAGAACAUCAAGCAAGCCGAGUUCGGCCGCAGAGAGAUCGAGAUUGCCGAGCAAGAGAUGCCGGCUCUGAUGGCGCUGAGGAAGCGGGCCCAGGGGGACAAGCCCCUGGCUGGAGCCAAGGUGGUCGGCUGCACACACAUCACGGCGCAGGCGGCGGUGCUGAUAGAGACUCUGUGUGCCCUCGGGGCGCAGUGUCGCUGGGCAGCCUGCAACAUCUUCUCCACGCACGAUGAAGUGGCGGCUGCACUCGCCGAGUCUGGCUUCUCGGUGUUUGCUUGGAAGGGAGAGGCGGAGGAUGACUUCUGGUGGUGUAUCGACCGCUGCAUUAACGUCGAGGGCUGGCAACCGAACAUGAUCCUGGAUGACGGCGGGGACCUCACCCACUGGAUGUACAAGCAGUACCCGUCAAUGUUCCGCACCGUGCGGGGCAUCGUGGAGGAGAGUGUCACGGGCGUGCACAGGCUGUACCAGCUGUCCAAGGCCGGCAAGCUGUGCGUGCCAGCUGUCAAUGUUAAUGAUUCGGUCACCAAGCAGAAGUUUGAUAACCUGUACAGCUGCCGGGAGUCCAUUCUUGAUGGUCUCAAACGGACUACAGACAUUAUGUUUGGCAGUAAGCAGGUGGUGGUGUGCGGAUAUGGAGAGGUGGGCAAGGGCUGCUGCUCUGCACUGAAAGCGCUGGGUGCCGUGGUUUACGUCACGGAGAUGGAUCCAAUAUGUGCCCUGCAGGCCUGCUUAGAGGGCUACCGGAUUGUGAAACUCGCGGAGAUCGUGCGUCAAGCAGACAUCAUCAUCACCUGCACAGGCAACAAGAACGUGGUGACACGCGAGCACCUGGACCGGCUGAAGAACGGCUGCAUCGUGUGCAACAUGGGCCACUCCAACACGGAGAUCGACGUGGCGAGCCUGCGCAGUCCUGAUCUCACGUGGGAGCGAGUGCGAACUCACGUGGACCAUGUGACUUGGCCCGAUGGAAAGCGCCUCGUUCUGCUGGCCGAGGGCCGUCUUCUGAACCGUAGCAGCUCGAGUGUGCCCUCGUUUGUGCUGUCCAUCACAGCCACCACACAGGCGCUGGCUCUAAUUGAACUGUACAAUGCUCCAGACGGACGCUACAAACAGGAUGUGUAUUUACUGCCGAAGAAGAUGGACGAGUACGUGGCGAGUCUGCACCUGCCAACAUUUGAUGCUCAUCUCACCGAGCUCACAGACGACCAAGCAAAGUAUCUGGGGAUGAGCAAGAAUGGUCCUUUCAAGCCAAACUAUUACAGAUAUUGACGCAGACCAAGAGGUGGAGCUGACCCCAGGCUGGGCAGUGGAGGCGACCUCCACGGCACGGUGUGCUGCAUCGGCGACCGUAAUCAUGAGCCCCCUGGUGGUGGUUAUAAUCAUUCAGCUUCGUGUAGCCACCUUCCUGCAGCCGCGGCCCCCCCGGGGCACCACUGACGUCCACUGUGCUAGUACAAUAGAGAGGUUUGUGUUCAUGUUUUUUUAUUUGCCAGGACAGAGGGCGUGUGUGUGUGUGGAACACGAUUGAAUAUGUGUUGAAUGAAAACCCUUUCAUCUUUACUGCCAGGACAAAGUGGGUGGCCCGGAUAUCACCAGACACAUUUGAACCAAGUUAAAUGAUAUUGUUAUUAUCUCAACACUCAUUCAUGGAGUUGUUGAAACAACCAAAUAUAGGAUCACAGAGCUUGGGCAAUUGUCAAUUCUGGCUGCCUUCCUGCUCGUCUGGGGUUUCCCCACGGUGGCGUGACGCGGUGUGCACCCGUAACGACGCUCGAUACAAAUACAGCAAUUAUCAUUCCUAUUCUCACUAAAACAGCGACAUUUCAUCACAUUUUCAGGGACUAUUACGAAUAUGCAGAAAUGCCUCGGGGUGGGAAAAAUAUUUUAUCAUCGAAUGUUUUCAGAAAGUGAAAACGCCUGACGCGCGCGUUGACGAUUCCGCGGUUAGAUGUAGCACAGCGACGUGCGCGUGUUGUCGUAGAGAGUAGUGUCGCCUUAGCGUGCGUCUCCGCUUCAGUGCUAGCGCUGUGUUUCGCAUUGAGAAGCGAAUCGACUCUUCUGUCAAUGCAAGCUGAGGGCAAAUCAAGUUGCCCUUCUCCCCUACCAACGUUACACAAGGUGCAAUUUGUCACAUUUCCAGUGUGUACGUAUGUAGAACUUCUCUCGCACCAUACGUAGGCAACCGUGGUAACCGGAGGUGCGGGGAAAGGACAACAAACUAAACAUGUACGUGUGUUGAACUUCUUUCGCACCGUACGUAGACAAACGUGCUAAUCAGAGGUGCGGGGAAGGACAACAAACUAAACACGUAUGUAUGUUGAAGCUUCGCACCUUCCGUAGCCAACCGUGCUCAUCGGAGGGAGGCCUUUGUGCAAUAAUAGAUUGACACAUAACUGAUAGCAACAAUAUUAAUUAUGACACACAUAGCAGGUGAAUUAUAUUGCCUUACUGUGGGAUACGCACUUUGAACUAAUUAUACUGAUGCAUAUUAGCUUGGGAAGCCUCGCAGGGUCUCAAGACACAAUUUCCGCAGGAUCUUGCUACAUUGGGAUGUUCGGUUAAUUCCAGCAACGAGAGUUUGGCUUCUUGCGAGAGGUAACCGGAGAACGUGGAGAAAAGGCAGCACAGAGGAGUGGGUCACACUUAAAGCUCCACCCAGAUGGAUUCAAUAAUCCAUUGCUGUACUGCCAUCUUCUGGCCAGCCCCUACACUACAGCACCUGCUAGUCCCAAGCACCCUCGCGCUCGACCACGAUCCAGGCUAUCGGCCCGGCUGCUGGCGGCAAUGUCCAAUCGCUGAGGGCAGCGGUCUACGCGCACCCUCCCAUCACAUCACCCCCCAUCUCCCUACCCCAUCACAUCAACCCCUAUCUCCCCAUCACCACCCCACUAUCACCUCCCACCCCCCUCCCAUCAAAUCGCACCUUGCACGUUGGUUAGCCGCAGGCUGGAAUUGCAAUCCAGAGGUCGCCAUUUCCAUGCAGUCUCGCGGUGCGACAGGUGAAACAACGUGGCAAGUUUCUCUUAUCCCUCCCACGGCCGUUUCAAUCUGGCCAGCGGUAUAAAUAGGUGCACCACAGUCGAUUUUGGCAGGUCGCGUGUGUUGGGGUAAAUUGUGGGCACGCCCACCUCUUCCAAACACGUCUGGUCGGCGUGGACAAGCAGAUCAAUACCGCUUGAGAAUUGCCUCGAGUGGAGGCCAUUCUGGCAAGCGGCGGCGUGAGCGAGCAAUUGCGCGCAACUCUCCCCCGUCAGCCAGUACCCAGCUGUAGCCUUGUCCGUGCAUGAGGGUCCUGCGUGAGUCCACUGUUCGCCAUCUGUUGUGCGCGCACACGAGGGGAUCGCCGCCACAUCCCCAACAUUACCACAGCCCCCUGGCUGCAGCUCCGCACGAUCCAUAGUGGAUUUAAAUCGCCACUGUUUAACGCGCGUAAACUGCCGGAUGCAGUGUAAUAAUUACAGCGUAUCAAUUGUGACACUUUGUUUACCCAGGAAAGCCUCACUGAGGCCCCGAGACUUCCUCAGGAGGGUCCUGUCGUGUUUUCUGAGUGUCGGGCAAAGUCGCGCCGUAUUUCCCAGUUGAGUCGGUUUCAGAGUCAUUUCUCAUAUUUGGGCCAUGCUUCUGGGCGCCCCUGACACGGACGUGCUCCAACACUGAAGCGUGAAAACCCAGGUCUAGUCCUCGAUUCCUGGGAUGAAAGUGGAGCCCCCUUUCAAGCAUCCACGUGUGCAGAGGCAGCAAUCGGCAGCGCUUUGGUAACGCGUUAUCCGCCGGUUUGCUUCCAGUGCCAAAUAACAUUCACAUUCUGUCACUCGGGGGCGCGCCUCAUAACUCGCACGAGAGCUUUAAAUCGAAAAGCAAUGCCUCUGUUUACGGACAAGAAUCAAACGCGUCACACAAUGCGCAAAGGGGCGAUUUGGGGUGGGGGGAGAGGUGGAGGGUAUCAAUUUGCCCGAAAAUGUUUAAUUAUCAUGAUGAUUGCGUCAAAAUUGAAAUACUUCCCGUCGACAGCGUCUCACGUCAUGAGGAUCUUGACGAGUACAUUUCCGUUGUUACUGUGUCUGCAAAUAAACACGGCUAUUGCA
Molecule: RNA transcript, 4415 nt
Organism: Lethenteron reissneri (Far Eastern brook lamprey)
Lineage: Eukaryota; Metazoa; Chordata; Hyperoartia; Petromyzontiformes; Petromyzontidae
Gene name: S-adenosylhomocysteine hydrolase-like protein 1
Source: RefSeq, a predicted model, not a curated record